RNAcentral lists this long non-coding RNA (1170 nucleotides) under Nicotiana benthamiana. RNAcentral describes it as "long non-coding RNA (NBEN_LNC022221)". Lineage: Eukaryota; Viridiplantae; Streptophyta; Magnoliopsida; Solanales; Solanaceae. The record is from RNAcentral.
UGGAGCCGAGGACACUGUCUCCUCAUAUGACCCAACUCACCGAACUCGUAGCAACGACCUGGAGCUGGAGAAGGGGACUGAAGGGAACCCCUCACUGCAGAUGAACCCUGGGCUGAAGAGGUAGGGGUAGUACUCUGAGCUGGAAGGGCGCUAAGUGAAGACUUGCCCUGCUGAUAACCCUGAUGACCACAGCCUGAAGAAGCCCUACUGGACUCUGUAUGACAUGACUGAGGAGUUCUGAAGGAAAGACCUCUGCUGCGCUGGAACUGGCCCCUAGACAGGCAAGAGUAGUACUCUGAGCUGGAAGAGCGCUAAGUGAAGACUGGCCCUCCUGAUGAACCUGAUUACCACGGCCUGAAGAAGACCCACUAGACUUUGUACGACCUAACUAAGGAGGUCUGAAGGAACGACCUCAGCUGUGAUGGAACUGGCCCCUAGAUGGAGCACCGCUGAAACUACCUGAACCUCGAGGCCUUUUGGCCUCCCUCUCUUCAUGCUCCCGACGACGAUCUCCUUUAAUCUGACGAGCCACAUCAACUACCUCCUCAAACGAGGCUGCCACAACUCUCCCUCUAGUCAUCAAAAUGCGAAUGGGAUAGUUUAUGCCAUCCAUGAACCUCCUAAUCCUCUCCCGAUAUGUCGGGAUCAUCCAAGUGGGAUGCCGAGCUAGCUGCGUAAACCUCAACUCAUACUGGGUCACAGUUAUGUCCCCCUUAACCAACCACUCAAACUGACGACGCAGCUCUUCCCUGCGAGACUACGGUACAUACUUCUCCAGGAAGAGAGCGGAGAAUUCCUGCCAAGUAAGGGGCGCUGCUCCAACAGGCCUACGCCUCUCAAACUCUUCCCACCAUGUAAAUGCAGGCCCUGAGAACUAGAAGGUAGUAAAAACCACUCCACUAGACUCCAAUAUCCCUGCAGUGCGAAGCAUACGCUGACACUUGUCCAGAAAUCCCUAAGAAUCCUUUCCCUCUGUACCACUGAAUGUCGGAGGCUGGAUCCUGCCGAACCUCUCCAAUCGACGCUGCUUGUUAUCUGGCGUAACUGGAACCACAAAGUCUGGAGCUGGUACGACUGGCGCAACUUGGGCAACUCCCGGUGUCUGCAAUCCAUAAAUACCCUGCUCGGGUGUGCGGGCAGCGGGGGUCUGCUGACCACCACCGGUUUGAG